GAGUUUGAUCCUGGCUCAGGAUGAACGCUGGCGGUAUGCUUAACACAUGCAAGUCGAACGAAAGUUUUUAACUUUAGUGGCGAACGGGUGCGUAAUACGUGAGAAUCUGCCCUUAGGAGGAGAAUAACUUCUGGAAACGGUUGCUAAGUCUCCAUAUGCCGAGAGGUGAAAUAGUUUAUACUGCCUAGGGAUGAGCUCACGCCUGAUUAGCUUGUUGGUAAGGUAAUGGCUUACCAAGGCCACGAUCAGUAGCUGGUUUGAGAGAACGAUCAGCCACACUGGGACUGAGACACGGCCCAGACUCCUCCGGGAGGCAGCAGUGAGGAAUUUUCCGCAAUGGGCGAAAGCCUGACGGAGCAAUACCGCGUGAGGGACGAAGGAUUUUGGUCUGUAAACCUCUUUUCUCAAGAAAGAAGUUCUGACGGUACUUGAGGAAUAAGCAUCGGCUAACUCCGUGCCAGCAGCCGCGGUAAUACGGGGGAUGCAAGCGUUAUCCGGAAUCAUUGGGCGUAAAGCGCCUGUAGGUUGUUUAAUAAGUCUGUUGUUAAAGACUAGGGCUUAACCCUAGGAAAGCAAUGGAAACUAUUAGACUAGAGUAUAGUAGAGGUAAAGGGAAUUUCCAGUGGAGCGGUGAAAUGCGUAGAGAUUGGAAAGAACACCGAUGGCGAAGGCACUUUACUGGGCUAUUACUGACACUCAGAGACGAAAGCUAGGGUAGCAAAUGGGAUUAGAUACCCCAGUAGUCCUAGCUGUAAACAAUGGAUACUAGGUGUUGAACAGAUCGAUCUGUGCAGUACUAAAGCUAACGCGUUAAGUAUCCCGCCUGGGGAGUA
RNAcentral lists this ribosomal RNA (833 nucleotides) under uncultured cyanobacterium. RNAcentral's name for it is "bacterial SSU rRNA". It matches the Rfam family "Bacterial small subunit ribosomal RNA", at positions 9 to 882 of the family's 1533-position model. Lineage: Bacteria; Bacillati; Cyanobacteriota. The record is from RNAcentral.